UACAGAGACUGCAAGCGUUAAUCGGAAUUACUGGGCGUAAAGCGUGCGUAGACGGUUAUGUAAGUCGGGUGUGAAAGCCCCGGGCUCAACCUGGGAAUGCCAUUCGAGACUGCAUAGCUAGGGUGCGGAAGAGGGAAGCGGAAUUUCCGGUGUAGCGGUGAAAUGCGUAGAUAUCGGAAGGAACACCAGUGGCGAAAGCGGCUUCCUGGUCCAGCACCGACGUUCAGGCACGAAAGCGUGGGGAGCAAACAGG
RNAcentral lists this ribosomal RNA (253 nucleotides) under uncultured bacterium. Its description in RNAcentral is "partial 16S ribosomal RNA". It matches the Rfam family "Bacterial small subunit ribosomal RNA", at positions 524 to 776 of the family's 1533-position model. The record is from RNAcentral.